This 439-nucleotide unclassified non-coding RNA is filed under the name uncultured fungus. Its description in RNAcentral is "sequence contains ITS2". The stretch from base 1 to 154 matches the Rfam family "5.8S ribosomal RNA". The record is from RNAcentral. Lineage: Eukaryota; Fungi.
AACUUUUGACAACGGAUCUCUUGGCUAGCAGGUCGAUGAAGAACGCAGCUAGCUGCGUUAAACGGUGUGAAUUGCAGGACACGCCGAGCACUUGAUUUUCGAACGCACAUUGCGGCUACGGGUUCGUCCCGUAGCCUCGUCUGUCUGAGGGUCGGAUAACUUAUUGACUGUAAUACAGGCUCUUUCGUGGGGACCCUCCAAGGGACCCCUCGUAGGGUUGUAAGUCUGCGCUUGUCCUUUGCGGCGGCGGUCCGAGACGUCUUGUCAGCACUUCUUGUUGCUUGCACAUUCGGCUCGGCACUUCCAAGCACUGAACGCGCCCGACCUGGGUAGCUGCACACCUCGUGUGUGCGGCACACCCCACAAAGUAACUCACUUUGUCGACCUCAGAUCAGGCGAGAUUACCCGCUGAACUUAAGCAUAUCAAUAAGCGGAGGCU